ACGCAUGAUAGAGGCGCGGCUGAUAAGAGUAACCAUCCGGCAGACAGGCAUAGAGGAUGGGGAAAGGGUUAGCCGCCGAAGGGCCGUACCGCUGCCUGGCGGGUCGGUGCCUGGGCCGUCGGAAAACAUCCGCCGGACUGUCGCCCGGAAACGGGCGGGGCGCUGUCAUGGAU
Oscillibacter sp. 57_20 is the source of this 173-nucleotide non-coding RNA. Lineage: Bacteria; Bacillati; Bacillota; Clostridia; Eubacteriales; Oscillospiraceae. The record is from Rfam.